CCCGGGCCUUGUACACACCGCCCGUCACGCCAUGGAAGUUCGGGGGACCUGAAGCCGGUGGGCUAACCCGGCAAGGGAGGCAGCCGUCGAAGGUAGGGUACGAUGAUUGGGGUG
Molecule: ribosomal RNA, 114 nt
Filed under: uncultured bacterium
Lineage: Bacteria
Description: partial 16S ribosomal RNA
Rfam family: Bacterial small subunit ribosomal RNA
Source: RNAcentral